Long non-coding RNA from Siniperca chuatsi (mandarin fish), 2018 nucleotides. RefSeq lists it as uncharacterized. The transcript is spliced from 5 exons. Lineage: Eukaryota; Metazoa; Chordata; Actinopteri; Centrarchiformes; Sinipercidae. The record is from RefSeq and is a predicted model, not a curated record.
GAGUUAGAUGUUAGAUGUAUCUAGUAAAUUAUUUAUGGCUCUCUUUCUCUGGCCCAGUAUAGCAUGCUUUAGCAUCACCGUGGCAUGCCGAACUGCAUCAAGUAUUAAUACUAAAACAACACAAUACUGCAGGUCAUUUGUCAUAAAUAUUUUUUGAUCUGCCCCCGUUUUCUACGGACCGGUUUGGGGACUGAAAAAGAUUGUUUUAAGGGUUAAAAGAAACCAACAUUGACAAGUGCCCCAAAAGACAUAUAUGUUUACAUUCAAGUGACAUAGAAAGCCCUCUGACUCUUGUCUGUCGGGAGAAAAGCAGUAGUGUGAUGUUAUUAUAAAGCCACGAAGUCCGCAGAGGCAGGACGUCGCGGUGGACGGACGAGUCAAGGAAGCAACAAAACACCGUUUGCUUCCUGUUCCCUGACAGUCAACGAUGGUUUCUUUUAACCGUGACCACGAUCGUUCCCUGACCUUAACCGAGUGGUUAUUGUUGUAACCACGAGGACGAAGGUCCCCUUACCUUAAUGAAGCAGCAAUUUUAACUUAAACCACAAUGUUUCCUUAAACCUAACAGAGUUGUUCUUGUGCCUAAAAAUAACCAAACCUUAACCACAGCAGUGUAAGAUCAGAAAACAGUUUUAUUUUUGAAACUGCGACGUUGUCCUGUCGACCGUGGCCUCAGAUCAGAAACCUGUGUUGUUCUGGACCAACGACGUGUUUUGAGAGAGGACAGUCAUUAUUCACGUAGAGGUCAAGAGGUCAAUUGUCAGGAAAAGGAAAAUGUGGUUUGUUUUAAGCAUUUGAACCAAAGUCAGCCAAAGCUGUUUUGUUUCUGGCGAGGACAUUCUUUGAGACGUGAUCAUACGUCUUUCAGCUAUGACCUAAAACCACACUGACCCGUGACAUUAUGGUCCUGCUUGCACGGUCAAAUCAUAAUGGUCUCUGCCUUCAAACAAGCUGAUUCAGCUGAUUAACACCAUGUUUGGUCAUUCAGCUUCAUCGCUCCGGUGUGAAGUUACGUCUGGUUAGAUGAAGAGGCGACGCUCACUGCUGUUUGUGCGAACCAGCAACCCUCUCCCUCGUGCUCAAGUCUCCAUAUCGGUCCUCAGUGGAGCCUUCAGAGUGUGACUGACCGAUUCCUCCACUCAUUGUUCCACCUCCUCCUCUGCAUUCAUCUCUACGCUACUGGCAAGGAAAAAAGUCCAGGAUGCAGCCUGACUGUCAGGUUGUGUCGACCUGCAUUUGUUCACGUAAACAAGCGCUCACACCCAGGUGCAGUGCGUUGAGCUCUCGGGGCCACCUUCCUUUUCAGGGUCAUGUUUGGCUGGAAUUCAUCACCAAAAGGCAAGGAAACACUCAAGAAAUACAAACAUCAAAAGGCAGUAACUUGCACACAUUCACACCUAUCUGUAAUUUUAGAGACUUCAUUCACCUGUUCGGACAGGCGAAAAACAACACACGCAAGGAGAAGGUGCAAACUCCUCAAGCAAAGAGCUGCAGGUCAAAGUGGGGUCUUUGUCUUUCUCCUCAUCCCAGUUUCAAACACGAAAACAGCGUUCUGGCUGAGCAUGACCAGCUGAACUGCGGAGAAGAAGCUUUGCUGGAAAAAACAACGAUGGCACAUUUAAUGUAGAUCAUUACAUUUGUGCAAACGUUGGCAUCUGAAGACCCAAGCUACUCAGCUCUGUGUGUGUGUACUGUGACAGAGAUAACUGGCUUGAGAAACCUGCAGAGACGCCGUUUAUCAGUCUGGUUUCAUUCUCGGCUACACUCUGCUAUAUCAGACCUCGCUGCGGACGACCUCAAAGACAAAGAAGCUGGCAGGAAGAGGGACGGAGUUUUUACCUUUUUGCUUUCAGCGGGCAAGCACGACUAUGGAGGCCUGGAAGAAGAAUGCAGAAUGUGCUUGGCAAGUUUUCAAGGAAAGAAAAAGUUAGGCUAGUUCUUGAGUAUGUGGGAAAAGGCAGAAAAGACUGUGCGAGAAGAUGCUUUUGUUUCACGGUUGCAGGAUUUCAACAUCCCAU